Molecule: ribosomal RNA, 3745 nt
Filed under: Candidatus Acetothermia bacterium
Lineage: Bacteria; Candidatus Bipolaricaulota
Description: 23S ribosomal RNA
Rfam family: Bacterial large subunit ribosomal RNA
Source: RNAcentral
AAACAAGCAGAGUAAAGGCAGACGGUGGAUGCCUGGGCAGUGCGAGGCGAUGAAGGGCGUGGCUGGCUGCGAUAAGCCUCGGGGAGCCGUCAAGCAGGCUUUGAUCCGAGGAUGCCCGAAUGGGGUAACCCACCGCGCGCAAGCGCGGUAUCCCGCGCUGAACUGAGUAGGCGCGGGAGGCGAACCCGGCGAAGUGAAGCAUCUCAGUAGCCGGAGGAGGAGAAAUCAACCGAGAUUCCCCUAGUAGCGGCGAGCGAACGGGGAGGAGCCUAAACCGCUUGAGCUUAUAGGCCACAGCCGUUGCUCAUGCGGGGUUGCAGGACGGUGGCGGGAGUCGCUGUGGCGGCUCCGAGGAGUGAGAAAAGCUUUCUCUAGUCGAACCGCUGGCAAAGUCACUGAAAAGAGCGACCGGAGAGGGUGAUAGUCCCGUAGACGAAAGGGGAAGCUCUCCUCGGCUAUCGUCCUAAGUAGCGCCGGGCACGUGAAACCCGACGCGAAGCUGGGAGGACCACCUUCCAAGGCUAAAUACUACCACUGACCGAUAGCGCACAAGUACCGUGAGGGAAAGGUGAAAAGCACCCCGGGAGGGGAGUGAAAUAGAACCUGAAGCCGUCUGUCUACAGACAGUCGGACCGGCCUCCGCCUGGAGCGGAAACCUUGUCGCCUUUGGCAACAAGGCGAAUUGCCCAGACGGAGUCUGGGACGGCAUGCCUUUUGCAGUAUGAGCCGGCGAGUUAUCCUCCGUGGCUAGGUUAAGCCGCAAGGCGGAGCCGGAGUGAAAGCGAGCGUGAAUAGCGCGGAAGUCACGGGGGAUAGACCCGAAGCCAGGCGAUCUACCCAUGGCCAGGAUGAAGCCUAUGUAAGAGUAGGUGGAGGUCCGAACCUACUGGAGCUGAAAAUCCAGGGGAUGAGCUGUGGGUAGCGGCGAAAAACCAAACGGGCCUGGUGAUAGCUGGUUCUCCCCGAAAUGCAUUAAGGUGCAGCCUCCUGUCUGAAGCCGGCGGGGGUAGAGCACUGGAUGGGUGAGGGGAAACCCGAGCCCAACCAAACUCCGAAUACCGCUGGUGGAUUCAGGGGAGUGAGACUGUGGGGGAUAAACUUCAUAGUCGAGAGGGGAACAACCCAGACCGCCAGCUAAGGCCCCCAAGACUGAGCUAAGUGGGAAAGGAUGUGCGGUUGCUGAAACAGCUGGGAGGUUGGCUUAGAAGCAGCCAUCCUUCAAAGAGUGCGUAAUAGCUCACCAGACUAGCGAUCGCGCGCCGAAGAUUUAACGGGGCUUAAGCUCAGCGCCGAAGCUGCGGACCGCUAGCACUGCUAGCGGCGGUAGGGGAGCAUUCCGCGUUAGGGUGAAGCCAGACCGGAAGGGCUGGUGGACGAGGCGGAAGGGAGAAUGCCGGCAUGAGUAACGCGAGCUGAGUGAGAAUCUUGGCCACCGCAUGCCUAAGGUUUCCUGGGGAAGGCUCGUCCGCCCAGGGUUAGGCGGCCCUAAGCCGAACCCGAAAGGGGUUAGGCGAUGGAGAGCCGGUUAACAUUCCGGCCCCUCCCUCGGGCGCUACCAGCGACGGGGUGACGCUGCAGGCUGGGCCAGCCGGGUGACGGAAGUCCCGGUCCAAGCGCUGAGCCGUCGGGCGGUAGGCAAAUCCGCCGCCCGGCUAAGGCGAGGCGUGAUGGGGAGCCCCUACGGGGGCGAAGGAAGCCCGAGUCAGCAGCCGAGAAAAACCUCUAGCGAGCCGCGAGGGAGCCCGUACUGCAGACCAACACAGGUAGGCUGGGAGAGUAUCCUAAGGUGGGCGAGAGAACCUCCGUCAAGGAACUCGGCAAAAUGGCCCCGUAACUUCGGGAGAAGGGGUGCCACCUUCGGGUGGCCGCAGAGAAACGGCCCGGGCGACUGUUUACCAAAAACACAGGUCCCUGCUAACUCGAAAGAGGAUGUAUAGGGACUGAAACCUGGCCACUGCUGGAAGGUCAACGGGAGGGGUGCAAGCCCCGAACUGAAGCCCUAGCGAAGGCCGGCCGUAACUAUAACUCGACCGUUGUAGUUACGAAAAUAAACCCGACUAUAUGCUGGAAAGUCCGGAGUAUCCGGCGGUACUGGCGCCUGAGUCGCAGGCGCAGUGACAAACCGGCCGGUGCGGACAAUCAGCAGGAAAGGCCCAGGCCGUGCCAUUGAGGAGGAGGUGUAUCCAUAUGGCGAAUAUCAAGAGAGUUCCUCCUCAAAUCGGCUGGUAUCUCGCGGGCUUUGCAGAUGGCGAAGGCAGUUUCAACGUCGUCUUCAGGCCGCGCGAUGACUACCGGCUCCCUUGGAAGGUCUCUCUCUGCUUCAACAUCUCACAACGAGAUAGGGUCAUCCUCGCCCUGUUCAAGCGCCACUUACAGUGUGGCACGAUGAGGCAGCGUGAGGAUGGGGUCUGGUACUAUGAGGUCAACAAGCUCAAGCCGAUUCUGGACAAUGUCAUCCCCUUCUUCAAACGGUUCAAUUUCCUCUCAGCGAAGAAGAAGAGAGACUUCGCCAAGUUCUGCCAGAUCGCACAGCUAAUGGAGCAGGGAGCACACCUUCACAAGGAGGGGAUCGAGAAGAUCCUCGAGAUCCGCCGCGAGAUGAAUGAUGGCGGCAGGCGGCGCUAUGACGAGGGAGAGAUCCUGGCACGGUUCAGGGAAUCCCCAGAGACCAUACGUCGGGCACCCCACAAGGGUGAAGAGAUGGUCCGGUCUCCGUAGCGAUACGGAGAGUCCGCUCCGGUGGACUGCAUUCCGAUAUGGGAAUGUAACAGAAGACAAACGGUCCUAAGGUAGCGAAGUUCCUUGUCGGGUAAGUUCCGACGCGCAUGAAAGGCACAACGACCUGGGCGCUGUCUUGACGGGGGGCUCGGUGAAAUUGAAACACCGGUGACAAUGCCGGUGACCCACAGCAGGACGGAAAGACCCCGUGGAGCUUUACUGGAGCUUGGCACUGGGCCUUGGUGUCGGCUGUGCAGGAUAGGUGGGAGGCUGUGAACCGGUCCCGCUAGGGGCCGGGGAGCCGUCCUUGAGAUACCACCCUGCCGAUGCUGAGUCUCUAACCUCCUGCCGCCAGAAGCGGCAGAGGGACAGUGCUUAGCGGACAGUUUGACUGGGGCGGUCGCCUCCUAAAAGGUAACGGAGGCGCGCAAAGGUCCCCUCAGCCGGGUUGGAGAUCCGGCGUGGAGCGUAAGGGCAGAUGGGGGCUUGACUGUGAGACUUACAAGUCGAGCAGACGCGAAAGCGGGCCCUAGUGACCCACCGGUGCCGUGUGGAAGGACCGGUGAUCAUCGGAUAAAAGUUACCCCGGGGAUAACAGGCUAGUCGCGCCCGAGAGUUCACAUCGACGGCGCGGUUCGGCACCUCGAUGUCGGCCCUUCCCAUCCUGGGGCUGAAGCAGGUCCCAAGGGUUCGGCUGUUCGCCGAUCAAAGGGGAACGCGAGCUGGGUUCAGACCGUCGUGAGACAGGUCGGUCCAUAUCCGCUGUGGGCGCAGGAGACUUGCGGGGCUCUCUCCCUGGUACGAGAGGAUCGGGAGGGCCGGACCGCUGGCGUGCCAGCUGUCCCGCCAGGGGCAUCGCUGGGUAGCUAAGUCCGGGUUGGAUAAGCGCUGAAGGCAUCUAAGCACGAAGCCACUCCCAAGAUGAGGUCUCCUAGGUCCCUCCGAGAUAAGGAGGUAGAUAGGCCGCAGGUGUAAGCACGGUAACGUGUUGAGCCGAGCGGUACUAAUCGGCCGAUCGCUUGCUCUC